UAGGGAAUAUUAGAAAUGGACGAAAGUCUGAUCUAGCAACACCGCGUGUGCGAAGAAGGCCUUCGGGUUGUAAAGCACUUUUUGGAAGGAUUAGGAAGGAAUGUACUUCCAGAAUAAGUCUCGGCUAACUACGUGCCAGCAGCCGCGGUAACACGUAGGAGGCAAACGUUAUCCGGAUUUACUUGGCGUAAAGCGCGUGUAGGUGGUUCUGUAAGUAGGGCGUGAAAGCUCCUGGCUCAACUGGGAGAGGCCGUUCUAAACUGCAGAGCUAGAGGAUGGUAGAGGGAGGUGGAAUUCCGGGUGGAGCGGUGGAAUGCGCAGAUAUCCGGAGGAACACCAGUGGCGAAAGCGGCCUCCCGGACCAUUCCUGACACUCAGACGCGAAAGCUAGGGUAGCAAACG
This 402-nucleotide ribosomal RNA is filed under the name uncultured prokaryote. Its description in RNAcentral is "bacterial SSU rRNA". It matches the Rfam family "Bacterial small subunit ribosomal RNA", at positions 355 to 774 of the family's 1533-position model. The record is from RNAcentral.